RNAcentral lists this long non-coding RNA (1193 nucleotides) under Equus caballus (horse). RNAcentral describes it as "lncRNA (ENSECAG00000055256.1)". Lineage: Eukaryota; Metazoa; Chordata; Mammalia; Perissodactyla; Equidae. The record is from RNAcentral.
CUGGGGCAUUUUCUUCUAGCUGCUGUUGAAACUAUAGAGGAUUAAAGAUUUCCCAAAGUUCAGGCUGGAUAAUCCCUUCUACAGGAUUAACUCACUGAAUAGCUUUCCAGGUAUAUUUGUUUCAGGAAAGAAACAACAGAUUUCAAAUCCCUAAAUCUAGUUCUCGUCAAGAUGGCGCUGUGAGCAGACGUUGAACUCACCUCCUCCCACGAACACAACCAGGUUACAACAAUUUUGGGAAGAAUCACCCUGGAUUGAAAACUGAAAACUGGAUUAAAAGAACCCCCACGACAAAGGACAGUCGUGACGAAAGCAGAAGAGGCAGAAACUCCCGCUGGAGAGGAAAAAAAGCCACCUUUGGGAGCAGCGGAGCUUCUCAGCUGGCCAGGCGGGAGCCAACAUAAGAAUGACAAGAUUCUGUCAGAGCUGGAACGUUUUUUAAGGUGAUCUUCACUCUCAGAUUCUUCUGUAGCAACCCCCGGUUUCCUGUUGGAUUUCUCUGUCUUAUGUGGAAGGAGGAUGAGAAGAGGCCAUCUAAGAAAUCUACCUACCCCUUCUGCAUUCUGCCGUGUCACUCACAAUCCUAUAUCCCUAUGGAAACGCUUAACUCUUCUAUGUUCCACAAUCAUUGCUUUCAUCCUCUACCCUUUUCAUGACAUUUUCUUUGGUGUUCUUUCCAUUUUACAGAAGAUGAAAAGAAUUGUUAAAUGCCGUGAUCCUUUUAAAGAUGUUCUGGGAUACACAAGAAGGAUUUAAGAUAUUUCAAAACAGGAACACUCCUUUAACUUCUAAGAGAUGGAGCAGAUAGAGAGGACAGGACAUCCUUCUCAGCAGUCACCGGAAUUUACCUAUGGGAAGAAAAUCAGGAGUAGAGUUUCCCAGAAGACCUAGGCUAUUUUGUGAUUAAACUUCAAUUGGCUAACUGUUUAUUCGUUACAAAGAGUCAUGUCCCCAUUUUGAUAGAGGGUAGCCAUAAGAAUUGUAGAAUAAACCCAACACUCCUCUUAGGCAGCAGUUGAAGGAAAAAAAAUAAAUUAGAGAACCAGGCCAGUUGUCCUAAAUCUUAAGUGUAACAAGUAUAGACAGAAACAAAGAGCACAUUUUUAUCAGUUUAGCACUCAAUGUGACAUUAAUUAAUAACUAACACUCAUGUAUAUUAGUUUAGUUGGGUUUUUGUGUGUGUAUGUGUGGUG